AUUAAUUAAUUAUAUAUAUGUGUCUGUGUGAAGAUGAAUUUAACUUUUUCUGCUUUUAAAAGUACAUAAGCAUUUAUAUUUAUAAUUUUUUAGCCAUCGGAUCGCCUCAAUUCCAGACAACACUACUAAUAGUGUCUCGCAUUAAGUCUCCUUUAUUAGUACUGUACGGUACUUAAAACAAUUUGAUCGCUAAAAAAUCACUGGCAUAUGUUAAGUUCGUGUGCUUUUAAAAGCACAGAAGCGCCACUCAUAUAAAGACAAUAGGAUAAACUUCAAAAAUCAUCCAUGUGGUUUCACACUUUUUUACUUUAAUAUCCCGUGGUUUAAAAUGUAUCAAGUUAGUAUCCUGUGAUUUUAUUUUUAUCUUUUUGUCAGCUUCUCCGUUAAUAUUUCAUUAAAUUAUAUACAAAAAAUUUUAGAUAUCUCACUUAAGUUUAUCGAAUAUUCACUUUAGUAAUCUUUAGUUUUAACUUUAUCAUUGAUCUAAUAAAAAAAUUACUAAAAUCGAUAAUAAAAAAAUAAAAAUAAAAUCAAAUGAUACUAAAUUGAUAUAUUUUAAAUUAUAAAAUAUUAAAAUAAAAAAGUAUAAAAUUAUAUGGGUGGUAUUUGAAGUUUUUUUUGGUGACAAAAUUAUGGAAAAG
Molecule: long non-coding RNA, 641 nt
Filed under: Ananas comosus (pineapple)
Lineage: Eukaryota; Viridiplantae; Streptophyta; Magnoliopsida; Poales; Bromeliaceae
Description: long non-coding RNA (ACOM_LNC033832)
Source: RNAcentral